Molecule: long non-coding RNA, 389 nt
Organism: Olea europaea var. sylvestris
Lineage: Eukaryota; Viridiplantae; Streptophyta; Magnoliopsida; Lamiales; Oleaceae
Exons: 2
Source: RefSeq, a predicted model, not a curated record
CUCACAUAUUCACACGCCUACAAAAUCUCAGUUUCUCUCUGUUUCUUUUUCUCAGAUCUAAUUCUAUAGGUCGGGAACAUUGUUCGCUUACUACGGCGUCGUUUUCACGUCGAUGAGCGAUCCGAACUUUGUGAAUACAAAUGUCUACCAUAUGCUUGUAAAUGAUGUCGUUGUUUUUGGCGAAAAUCAUGUUCCUGCCUUGCAUCAACUGAAUCGGAGGCCGCGGUGAAUGUUUAUAUGUGAAACGCUGUGUUCUUAUUGGAUUCCAAUUGAUCGGUAAUUGAUUUGCUCUGUGAUAGGUCUGGAUUUAAUAAUUAUUUUGUCAAUUGUGAUGGUGUAUAGCUGGAUCUUGGUAAAAUAAUUAAUGAGCAUUUAAUUUGAGUGAUAAA